GACGAACGCUGGCGGCGUGCUUAAUACAUGCAAGUCGAACGGAAAGGCCCUGCUCUUGUGGGGUGCUCGAGUGGCGAACGGGUGAGUAACACGUGAGUAACCUGCCCUUGACUUUGGGAUAACUUCAGGAAACUGGGGCUAAUACCGGAUAGGAGCACCUGCUGCAUGGUGGGGGUUGGAAAGUUUCGGCGGUUGGGGAUGGACUCGCGGCUUAGCAGCUUGUUGGUGGGGUAGUGGCUUACCAAGGCUUUGACGGGUAGCCGGCCUGGGAGGGUGACCGGCCACAUUGGGACUAAGAUACGGCCCAGACUCCUACGGGAGGCAGCAGUGGGGAAUAUUGCGCAAUGGGCGGAAGCCUGAUGCAGCAACGCCGCGUGCGGGAUGACGUCCUUCGGGUUGUAAACCGCUUUCGCCUGUGACGAAGCGUGAGUGACGGUAAUGGGUAAAGAAGCACCGGCUAACUACGUG
Molecule: ribosomal RNA, 468 nt
Filed under: uncultured bacterium
Lineage: Bacteria
Description: partial 16S ribosomal RNA
Rfam family: Bacterial small subunit ribosomal RNA
Source: RNAcentral